GAUCCUGCGCCGAAGAUUUCCGGGGCUAAAACUUACUACCGAAGCUACGGCAUCAUUAUGAUGGGUAGGGGAGCUUCCCAUACGGGUUGAAGCAUGACCGUAAGGACAUGUGGACAGUAUGGGAGUGGGAAUGUUGGCAUGAGUAGCGAGAUGUGGGUGAGAAUCCCACAGGCCGUAAACCCAAGGUUUCCAGGGGAAGGUUCGUCCGCCCUGGGUUAGUCGGGACCUAAGCUG
RNAcentral lists this ribosomal RNA (234 nucleotides) under Clostridioides difficile. RNAcentral's name for it is "partial 23S ribosomal RNA". It matches the Rfam family "Bacterial large subunit ribosomal RNA", at positions 1155 to 1398 of the family's 2925-position model. Lineage: Bacteria; Bacillati; Bacillota; Clostridia; Peptostreptococcales; Peptostreptococcaceae. The record is from RNAcentral.